AUACAACAGCCCAUUCUAUGUCAUGGACCCUUUAUUUCCUGGGAAGAUUCCACGAAAUCCAAGAAGAACUGUAUCUAGAAUUGCAAGAAAUUUUCAAAAAUGAUAGGAACAGGAAUAUUACUAUCUAUGACACAACGAAAAUGACGGACUUAGAAUGCGUAAUUAAGGAGUCGAUGAGAAUCUAUCCACCUGCUCCUUUUAUUGCAUGAAAAAAUCCUUCAGAAAUGAAAAUAAGUAAUUACAUGUUGCCUGCAAAUUCGACUCUUGUCAUAAAUAUCUAUGGCAUCCAUCAUAAUCCUUCUGUUUACGAAAAUCCCGAGGUGUUCGAUCCAGACCGUUUUUUACCUGUAAACUAUAAAAAUCUUCAUCCUUAUGCAUUUCUGCCAUUUUCUGCCGGUCCACG
Molecule: long non-coding RNA, 403 nt
Organism: Centruroides sculpturatus (bark scorpion)
Lineage: Eukaryota; Metazoa; Arthropoda; Arachnida; Scorpiones; Buthidae
Exons: 3
Source: RefSeq, a predicted model, not a curated record